Molecule: long non-coding RNA, 526 nt
Organism: Harmonia axyridis
Lineage: Eukaryota; Metazoa; Arthropoda; Insecta; Coleoptera; Coccinellidae
Exons: 2
Source: RefSeq, a predicted model, not a curated record
CGGCUAAGUUGUUGGAUGUCAGCUCUAGAAUUUAUUGAGUCAUGGAUACUUAUUUGUUACAUCUCAAAAAUUAGCCGAUUGUUCAAGUAUGGCUCCCUAUUUAAUAUUUUGACGUCUUCAAAAUUGAAGUUGUGACUUUCGUUCAGGCAAUGUUCGGCCAAGGCUGUUUUUGUCUAGCUUAGCCCUGAGGAUGGAAAUAAAUUUUUCCGAAACGUCGGCGAACUAACAGAGUAUCAUUUUCCUGUUUCUCUGAUCCUACACCACCAAUCUAUAGUGAAAUUAAAUUUUGGAUCACCACUUCAGAUCUUGUGAAAUAAUUUAUGGUUAUUUUUUGACAACAUCAUCUCUAAUAUGGGUUUUAUGGAGGACAUCAAGCACCGUUAUGGUAUGGAAACUUUAAGAAACUUCAAACAAUGGGCAAAUCAGGUGAACAAGCGAGCAAGUCUGGAAAAUCACAGAAAGUUUCUUUUACGUUGUAGAAAACAAAGAAUUUUACCAUCUCAUAUCACACGUUACUCUAAAUGCA